RNAcentral lists this non-coding RNA (75 nucleotides) under Fibrobacter sp. The record is from RNAcentral. Lineage: Bacteria; Pseudomonadati; Fibrobacterota; Fibrobacteria; Fibrobacterales; Fibrobacteraceae.
CUUGAUUCCCUUGCUUGCACCAAAUGCGGUGAGCUACGGCCCCUGAGGCAGAGGGAAUUUCAUUUCCAAAGAGGC